AAAACUACCAAACACCGGGCCGUUCGUGCACUUCCACCGAACAAGAAGGGAGGUCGGCGGCUUCAGCGGUGUUCGCGCAAAACGGUGUCCGAUUUUAGUUCCAUGAAAAUAGGGGCGAACACCGCUGUGCAUUCGUAUGUUUAAAAUGGCCGCGACCUCGUGUUCGGGAUACGAAUGGCGGCCACCCAGCAUUCGUCAAUUAAGCUGUGGUUAACCGCAGCUUCAGGGAGGUUAAUUGCCGGCACACUCCAGCUCCCAGGUGGUCUAUUCAUUCGUGCGGUUGUUCGGUAGAUUGAAUCUACCGAACAACCGGCAGAAAAGCACGAAUACAGCUUUUCUGCAGGCGAAAUAAAGUCUUUUAAAAGGGGGCCAUAGUCCAGAGGCAGCAGGCGAGCAACCAGGCUUCUCCAAUGCAAUGUGGCGAG
This is a non-coding RNA of Pelobates cultripes (western spadefoot toad), 425 nucleotides long. Lineage: Eukaryota; Metazoa; Chordata; Amphibia; Anura; Pelobatidae. The record is from the annotation of a GenBank genome assembly.